Molecule: ribosomal RNA, 1149 nt
Filed under: uncultured fungus
Lineage: Eukaryota; Fungi
Description: eukaryotic LSU rRNA
Rfam family: Eukaryotic large subunit ribosomal RNA (bases 516-1149)
Source: RNAcentral
AAGUCGUAACAAGGUUUCCGUAGGUGAACCUGCGGAAGGAUCAUUAAAGAGUUUAAGCCCUAUAUGGGUAGAUCUCCUAUCCUUGAAUAUAUUAUUUUGUUGCUUUAGUGGGUCGUAUUUCUAUAUAUACCACUGGCAUUUGCUAGUGAGUACCUACUAGAGAAUUCUAAAUUCUGAAUUAUUUAUUAUCUUGUAAUUAUAUAAUUAUUAAAACUUUCAACAACGGAUCUCUUGGUUCUGGCAUCGAUGAAGAACGCAGCGAAAUGCGAUAAGUAAUGUGAAUUGCAGAAUUUAGUGAAUCAUCGAAUCUUUGAACGCACAUUGCGCCUUUUAGUAUUCUAAAGGGCAGGCCUGUUCGAGCGUCAUUAGUAAUAUUCAAGCUUUGCUUGAUAUUGGGUUAUACUAGCAAUAGCUAAUCCUAAAACUAGUGGUAUUGUUAUUAAAUCUCAAGUAUAGUAAAUUUCUUGUUUCGAGAUUUUGUAGUUGAAUACUAUUAAUUUCAAAUCUUUUAAGAUUGACCUCGAAUCAGGUAGGAAUACCCGCUGAACUUAAGCAUAUCAAUAAGCGGAGGAAAAGAAACCAAUAGGGAUUGCCUCAGUAACGGCGAGUGAAGUGGCAAUAGCUCAAAUUUGAAAUCUGGCUCUUUUAGAGUCUGAAUUGUAAUUUGUAGAAGAUACUUCGGGUAUGGUGUUAAUUUAAGUUCCUUGGAAUAGGAUAUCGUAGAGGGUGAGAAUCCCGUAUGUAAUUAUACAUCUAUGCCUCUAUGAAGUUCUUUCAAUGAGUCGAGUUGUUUGGGAAUGCAGCUCAAAAUGGGUGGUAUAUUUCAUCUAAAGCUAAAUAUUGGCCAGAAACCGAUAGCGCACAAGUAGAGUGAUCGAAAGAUGAAAAGCACUUUGGAAAGAGAGUUAAACAGUACGUGAAAUUGUUGAAAGGGAAGCGCUUGCAACCAGAUUUGCGUUUGGUUAAUCAUCCGGGGUUUUCCUCGGUGCACUUGAUUAUACUCAGGCCAGCAUCAGUUUUAGUAGUUGGAUAAAGAUUAUGAGAAUGUAGCUCCUCUUGAGGAGUGUUAUAGCUCAAGGUGCCAUGCAACUAAUUGAGACUGAGGAUCGCGCUUUAGCUAGGAUGCUGGCAUAAUGGUUGUAAGCGACC